CUCCAGGCUACACAAGGUGUCAGCUGGGGUUAUGAUUUUGUCUGAGGCUUGACAAGGAAGAAUCUUCUUCCAAGUUCAUUCAGAUUUUUCCCAGGAUUCAUUUCCUCACCCCAGCUAUUGGCUAGAGGCUGCCUUCAGCUCCUAGGACCGUCUGCGGCUCCCCGCCAUGUCCUCUCCAUAGGCAAUUUACAACAUGGCUGUUUUUUUCAAGGGUGGCAGAAUCUUGAUAAAGUCGGAUAAAACAGAAUUUUAUACAUAGAAGGUGGGAAUGCCAUAUUCUUGCUUCUUGCUGGAAGCAAGCCACCGAAUUUACCCUCUCUUAAGAGGAGGGGGUCAUUCGGAGGUAACACCAACAUCAUGGUGCCAUCUUGGAAUUCUGUCCACCCCAGCAAAUUCUGUCCCAGGUUUAGCUGAGAAAAGGGUUGGAGAGAGUUGUGACUACCCUUGUAUUGUGUAUAGUUGGGAGUUUGAACAGUAUCCUAUUGAAAACAGGAAACACUGAAAGGGAAUGGAGAAGGAAUGAUGAGAGUGGGGGCAAAAAGCCAAUGGGAAGGAAGUGCCAGGGUUCAGGGGAGAAAUAGUGAUGGGCUGUGGCCAUGGGAUGCAGAAGAAAGGCCCAAUAUCUGCCUGGCUGACCUGUGUUUCCUUUUGAUCUCCACUCAGAUGUCACCUGAUCAGCAGCUCUGGAGGCUGAGGCAGGAGGAUCUUGAAUUCAAAGCCAGCCUCAUCAAAAGCGAGGCACUAAGCAACUCAGUGAGACUCUGUCUCUGAAUAAAAUACAAAAUAGGGCUGGGGAUGUGGCUCAGUGGUCAAGUGCCCCUGAGUUCAAUCCCGGAUACCCCCCCCUAAAAAAGUCACCUGAACAGUAAGGCUCUCCCCAUCUACACAACAUAAAAGAGCCACCCACUCCUCUCUCUCCACCCCUCCCCCACCUUAUUGUCAGAGCACUUAUCAUCAUGGGCCUUACUAUGUGUUUCUUUUCUUUUAAUCAACUUAUUUUCUUUCUCUCCUUAUAGACUUCAAGAGUUUUUUCAGCUUGCUGAUAUAUCUUCAGCCUCCAGAACAGUGCCUAGGAUAUCAAAUAUAUUCAAUGAAUGUUUGCUGACUGAAUCAAUCAAUCAAUCAAUCAAUCAAUGUGUUCCAAAGAUGUUCUGGCAUUGGACUUGCUAGGACUUCAUACAAGAGAGAUGCAUUAGCAAUGCUCCAAGGUUUCUGCCUUGACAGAUUUUUAAAAAAAUAUAUUAGAGCCAGGCAUGGUGGUGCAAGCCUGUAAUCCCAGCGUUUUGGGAGGCUGAGACAGAAGAAUCUUGAGUUCAAAGCCAACCUCAGCAAAAGCGAGGCACUAAGCAACUCAGUGAGACCCUGUCUAUAAAUAAAAUAGAAAAUAGGACUGGGGAUAUGGCUCAGAGGUGGAGUGCCCCUGAGUUCAAUCUUUAGUACCAAAACAAACAAAAAACAAAACAAAACAAAACAAAAUAUAUAUAUAUAUAUAUAUAUAUAUAUAUAUAUAUAUAUAUAUAUAUAUAUAUUGGAGCCAGGCACAGUGGCACAUGCCUGUAACCUCAUUGAUUCAGGAGGCUAAGGCAGGAGGAUUGCAAGUUUCAGGCCAGCCUCAGCAAUUUAGUGAGACCCUGUCUCAAAAUAAAAAUAAAAAGGGCUAGGAAUAUGUCUCAAUGGUAAAGUGCCUCUGAGUUCAAUCCCCAGAACAAUCAAUCAAUCGAUCUAUAUCAAUGUCAACAUAUAUGUAUAUAUGUGUUGUGUGAGUGUGUGUGUGUGUGUGUGUGUGUAUAAGCCUGUAUAUUAGAGUACAUAGACACACUGAGACAUAUCAAUACCUAUAUACAAUGUAUAAGGAUAAGAUGAGGGUAACUGGCAUUUCCAUCAUCAUGAACAUAUAUCAUUUCUUUGUGUUUAGAACAUUCAAAAUCUUCUCUACUGGCUAAUUUGAAAUAUUCAAUUGCCAACCAUAGUUAUCCUACUGUGCUAUAGAAUAUUACAAGUUAUUCCCCCUUCCAAGUGCACCCUUGUACCACUAACCAUCUUUUCUUCAUUCCUCCUCCCCCACACAUUUCCCAGGCUCUGAUAACCACUACUUUACUCUCUACUUUUUGGAGAUCAAUUUUUUGGUUUCCAAAUAUCAAUGAGAACACAUGGUAUUUGUUUUUCUGUGCCUGAUUUAUUUCACUUGACAAAAUGUCAUCCAGUUCCUUCUAUUUUGCUGCAAAUGAUGGAAUUUUGUUGCUUUUUACAGAUGAAUAAUAUUCCACUAUGUUUAUAGACCACAUUUUCUUUAUCCAUUCAUUCAUUGACGGCACCUAGGUUGGUUCCACCUCUUGACAGUUGUGAAUAGUGCUGCAAUAAACACAUGAGUGCACAGGUCUCUUCCACAUUAUGAUUUCAAUUUUCUUGAAUAUAUACCCAGUAGUGAGAUGGCUAGAUCAUAUGGGAUUUCUAUUUCUAGUUUUCAGAGGGUGCUCCAUACUCUUUUCCAUAGCAGUUAUACUAAUUUACAUUUCCACCAACAGUGUAUGAGAAUUCCCCUUUCUCUGCAUCCUCACCAGCAUCUGUAAUUUUUUUGUCUUUUGUUUUUCUUUCUUUUGUACUAAGGAAUGAGUCCAUGGUGUCUUACCACUGAGCUACAUCCCCAGUCCAUUUUUUAAAAUAUUUUUUAGUUGUCAAUGAACCUUUGUUUUACUUAUUUAUAUGCAGUGCUGAGAAUCAAACCCAGUGCCUCACACGUGCUAGGCAAGCGCUCUACCACUGAGCCACAACCCCGGCCCCAUAGCCCUUUUUUUUGUUUUUGAGACAGGGUCUCACCUAAGUUACUGAGGGUCCUACUAAAUUGCCCAGGCUGGCCUUGAAUGUGCACUCCUGCCUCAGCCUCCCUACUCACUGGGAUUCAGGGGCAUGCCACCAUGCCUGGCAUUUUGUUUUGGUUUGGUUUGGUUUUUUGUCUUUUUGCCAAUAGCCAUUCUAACUGGGGCAAGGUGAUCUCUCGUUGUGGUUUGGGUUUACAUUUCCCUGAUGAUUAGCAAUGUUGAGAAUUUUUUCAUAUGUGUAUUGACCAUUCAUAUAUCCUCUUGAGAAAUGACUAGUCAGGUCAUUCACCCAUGUUUAAUUGGAUUAUUCAGCUUUUUGGUGGUGGGUUGUUGAGUUUCUUAUAUAUUCUAGAACUUAAUCCCUUGUCAGAUAAAUAGUUAGCAAACAUCAUCUCCCAUUCCACAAGUUGUCUCUUUACUCUGUCUACGAUUUCCUUUGCUGUAAUGACACUUUUGUUUUGUUUUGUUUGUUUUGGGUACCAGGGGUUGAACUCAGGGACACUCCACUUCUGAGCCACAUCCCCAGCUCUAUUUUGUAUUUUAUUUAGAGACAGGGUCUCACUGAGCUGCUUAGUGCCUCACUUUUGCUGAGGCUGGCUUUGAACUCUCAAUGUUCCUACCUCAGCCUCCUGAGCCACUGGGAUUACAGGCGUGUGCCACCACAUCCAGCUUGUAAUGACACUUUAUAAUUUGAUGUAAUCCAUUUGUCUAUUUUUGCCUCUGUUGCCUAUGCUUUUGAGGCCACAUCCAAAAAAAAAUCAGACCAAUACCUUGUAGUGUUUUCCCUGCAUUUUCUCCUAUUAGUUUCAUAGUUUGGGGUCAUAUGUUUAAGCUUUUAACUCAUUUUGAGUUGAUUUUUUGUGUAUGGUGAGAGAUGGGGUUCUAAUUUCUUUUCUCUGUUUAUGGAUAUCCAAUUUUCCAGACCCACUUAUGGGAAAAAAUUGUCCUUACCAUACACUAUGGCACAUGCCUAUAAUCCUAAGUACUUGGGAGGCAAAUGCAAGAGGAUCACAAGUUCAAGGACAGCCUCAGCAAGAUCUCAUCUCAAAAAAAAUUUAAAAGGGCUGGGGUUGUAGCUCAGUAGUGAGCACCCCUGGGUUCAAUCCCUAGUACCCACCCCCCCCCCAAAAAAAAAGGAAGGAAGGAAAUAUUCUAUUUUAAAAAUAUUUUUAGUUGUAGAUGGUCACAAUACCUUUAUUUUGUCUAUUUAGUAUUUUUAUGUGGUGUUGGGGAUUGAACCCAGUGCUUAAUGCAUGCUAGGCAAGCACUCUACCACUGAGGCACAAUCCCAGCCCUAUUAUUUCUGUAAUCUAUGUGUUUGAUGUCUUCACUGAUAAUCAGUUGACUACAGAGGUGUAGAUUUAUCUCUGGGUUUUCUAUUCUGUUCCAUUGGUCUAUGUGUUCAUUUUUACAUCUGUACCCUGCUGCUUUGUUUAUUAUUGCUUUGGAAUAUGCUUUGAAGUCAGAUAUUGUAAUGCUUACUAUUUUGUUCCUUUUGAUACAGGAUCACUUUCUCUAUUGGGAGUCUUUUGUGGUUCUACAUAAAUUUUAGGAGUUUUUUUUUUUUCCUUUUCUAUUUCUGUGAAGAAUGCCAUUGGUAUUUUGAUAGGAAUUGUAAUCAAUUGGUAGAUUGGUUUGGUUCUGUGACCCAUAGAAUAGUGCUUCUCAGUGAUGUGGAAGGAACAGGGCAUCAGAGAAAGCACAUAACAAGUUGAACUUGGUCAAGUGGAUCUGAGAUGGAUGGUGAUCGGGUUAUGUCAUGGGACGGUAGAAAUGUGAGUUUCAGAGCUCAUGAGAUAAGAAAAAGGGUCAUGGAUUACAUAAGGGAUAGAGGAAGUCGUGGGGUUAAGUAAUAAGAGACCCAAGGGGUGCUCCCUGGAAAAGAAGAAAGAGCCAAUGUCAGAAGAAGAUGCAGGGGUGUCUGGAAAAGGGCUCCAAGAAUGAAGGCAGGUCCUCUUCAAUGCUACUGAGAGCUGAAGAAACAAGAUUAGAAUUGGAACGCUUUAGAGACUGAAGUUUACUGGUGGCAACAAGAGCAAGGGAUCAGAGUUUUCCAGAUCCACAAGAUAUUGAAAGACGUCAAUCACUUUCUCUGAGAAGGAGUUGUGAUUGAUGGUAAAGGAGAAAGAAGAGGGUGGUCCUAAGAGUGCAGGAAGUUAGGCAUGGUGCACACUUGUAAUCCCAGCAGCUGGGGAGGCUGAGGCAGGAAAAGCACAAGUUCAAGGCCAGCCUCAGUGACUUCACAAGGCUGUAAGCCAAUUUAUCGAGACCCUGUCUCAAAUUUUAAAAAAGGGUUGGGGAUAGUAGCUCAGUGGUAAAACACCCCUGGAUUCAGAGAUGGACAAAAGUUGCCGUCUAACAGUAUAGACCCAGUAAACUCACCCUCAUCCACAGCAGAUACAGUCCAGGACCCCCAAUAGACAUAUGCCUGAAAUCACAGACAGUACCCACCCUAUAUAAACUGUGUUUUGUUCUGUUUUGUUUUUGUGGUACCAGAGAUGGAACUCUGACUGCUCUACCACGAAGCUACAUCCCCAGCCCUUUGUGGGUUGUUUUUGUUGUUGUUGUUGUUGUUGUUUUUGAGAUAGUAUCUCACUAAGUUACCAAGGCUGGCCUUGAACUUGUGAUCCUCCUGCCUGUGCCUCCUGAGUCACUAGGCUUAUGGGUAUAUACCACCACACCUGGCUCUGUUGUUUCUUAUACAUAUAUACCAACGAUACAAUUUGAUUUAUAAAUUAGACAUGGUAAGAAAUAAUUAACAAACACUAAUGAUGGAAAAGAACAUUAUGAUGACAUACUAUAGUAAAAUUGCCUGCAUUACUACUCUGGCACAUUGGGGCCAUUAUUAAGUAAAAUAAGGAUUACUUGAACACAGUGUUGCAAUACUACAAUAAGUGAUCUGAUUACUGAGAGGGCUACUAAGUGACUAAUGGGAAGGUGGAAUAUUUAGCAUGGAUCCACUGGACAAAAGGAUGUUUAUCCCACGUGUGACAGAGCAGAUGGCAUGAGAUUUUAUUAUGCUACUCAGAAGGAUGCUCAAUUUAGAGCUGGGCGUGGUGGUGCACACUUAUAAUCCCAAUGGUUUGGGAGGCUGAGGCAAGAGGAUCCCAAGUUCAAAGCCAGGCUCAGCAACUUAGAGAGGCCCUAAGCAAUUCAGCAAGACCCUGUCUAAAUUAAAAAAAAAAAAAAUUAAGUGGGGGGGGGGGGCGGGCUGAAGAUGUGGCUCAGUAGUUAAGCACCCCUGGGUUCAACCCCUCCUACCAAAAAAAAAAAAAGAAGAAGAAUGAUGCUCAAUUUAAAAUGUAUGACUUGUUUAUUUCUGGAAUCCAUUUACUCUUUUCUUACCAGACUUGACUGUAGGUAGCUGAAAAUGCAGAAAGAAAAGCCAUAGAUAAGGGAGGAAUACUGUUCUCUUUCCUGCUUUGCCCCAACCUUUCCACUGGUGGGACAGCAGGGAAGAGACUUGGGCAGAGAGCAUUUCUGGGUUCUUUGAACGGAUUCAGUCUUAAUCUUGUCCUCGCUGUCAAAAGAAGCUUAAAUGGAAUACUCAGCAGGAAGUUCCGGAUUGCAGAGGUGGGAUCCUGGUUUCCCUCCUGUGCUCCAGGAUUGAAACCCAUUGAGGCCUGUGGCAGGUGACAUUGUCCAGAACUGCUACAACCGCCCAUCCCACUUGCUUUUGUACCAUACAACAAGGUACCCCCCACAGAGAGGUGGAAUCUGUGUCCCUCCACCCUAAACCUGGGACCAUCUCAGCUGGUAGAGUCUGCUAUAAAUGUUGGGUGACUGCAGUCUCAUGGUUCGACCUCUCAGACAAGACCAUGAAAUUUUUACAGGUCUCUCUCUUUCAGGGCAUGUGCCUUUGAAACCCCGAGACACCAUGUUAACAAGACUGGUUAUCCUAAAGCCACCAUACAGAGAGGCCCCCAGCCCUAGCCUCAGCAGAGCUCCCAGCUAACACUUCCUGGCCACAUACUCUGCCUCAUUUUCUGGAGGCUCCCCAAGGUCCUGCCCUCUCAACCCUGUUCUGUAUCCACAGGAAAGCAGGCUUUAUGCCCCCAUGCCCACCCACUCGGGGCCCAGAGGAAGUGAUAAACAAGCAGCACCCCCACCCAGCAGAGUCUCCACUGUCAGAAGGCCCUAAUGGUGGCUGGCACAGGUCACCCACCCAGCAACCAUCUCCUCACCCACCCACUCCAGGAAACGUGGAAAAUCCAGAGACCAUCCUAGGCCAGCUGUACUCCAGGAAGAAACUGGGCAAGCUGCCCAGAAUGACACAAAGUGGACUUUGGGCUGAUUGCCCAAGUUGAACUAAUGCCCUCACCUUCUUCUAAAGGGUACUCUCUGCAGAACCAAGGCCACAGCCUGUCAUGAAAGCAGAUGUUGACAGAGCAGGACAGAUGGGGUACGAGGGUCCCUUGGGAUAUGCGAAGCACAUCUCUGAUACUCACCACCCCAUCAGUACUGAUCAGAGUAAGUGGGGGAGGAGAAAAAGACCCCAACAUGUCGAGUAGUAAUGCCACCAUCAUGAAUUGGGAGCAGCCCAGCUGCUUCUGAGGGUGGAGCGCUAAGACACCUGGAUUCAUCCCUGCUCUCAGGCGGUGGGGAUGAGAACACUUGGGAAGCUCAAUGAGGUGGGACUUCCUUAAAGCAAAACAGCAGUAAAAAUCAGGAAAAAAAAAUAUUUCAUAUCCAGUAUUUGUGUUAGGCUAUAUGCUACCUAGACCCCCCCACCCCACAAGGCAUUUAAGGUAGGAUUUGAUUUACUAUUUUUUAUUCUCAGUUACUCAGUCUUUCAAUAAAUACUUAUGGAGCACCUUAUGCGCUAAACACCACAAGCAAAAAACAUAUUUUCAUAAAUACAUGUGUGAAUAUAAGCAAAGGAUAUCUCUAAAACAGUCGUUCUCCAUCAAGCCUCCCUCUUCCCAGGAGACAUCUGUCAAUGUUUGGAGACAUUUCCAGGUGUCAUAACUGGGAGGUGCUACUAGUAUCUAGUGGGGAGAGGCCAGGGAUGCUGCCUUGCACAGGACACCCCGUGACAAAGCAUUGCCUGGUCUAAAGAAUCAUUCAUGCUGAGAUUGUAAAACUCCGUCCAGAAGGAUACUCAAGAAACAGGUCAAGCUGGGAAUGCAGCUCAGUGGUAGAGCACUUGUCUAGCAUGUGCAAGUCCCUAGGUUAAAUCCCAGCCACCCCCUCCACACACACACACACACACGAUAUAGAUUAACAGUGGUUCCCCAUAUAGUGGGGUGCCAGAGACCAUGAUGCACAGGUAUUCGAGAUCAUGACUUCCCCUGUGUAUACUUCUGAACCAUUUUGUACUGAAUUUUUACCAAGUGCAUGUAUUAAUUAUUUUAUAAAAAAGAAGAACUAUUACUUGAUUGGGCCAUAAUUAUUGAGUGCCCUUCUCUUGAUUGUUAGAGAAAGAAAUUUAAAGGAGAGAAGAAACAGAAUCUGUCACUGCGUCUGGUGCCUGCAGUCUGUGAACCCGUCUAGCCUUCCUCCAGACCCCACUUUCUCAAACUCAGUCUCACCCCUGUCAUGGACCAGGGCCUUCUUGCUCCUGAGGACUGUCUUAGGCAUGGUAGGGUUUUGAGCAGCAUCCCAGAAUGUUCUUGGAGAUUCCCCUUAUCCUUUAUCCACUCCUGGGUCCCUUCAGCCCCCAGGAGCCUUCUGGUAUGGCUUCGACUAGCAUUCUGUGUUUUCUGUACUCAUCCUGCCUUUCUGGAUAAGUUGUAUUCUGCUUUCCAGGACAGAAGCAGCUUCAGUGAGAACUGGAUUGCUGUGAACACACAGAAGCAUUUUCUAGGCGCUAAAGGACACUCACUAUAUAGCAGCUGGACACAACAGGCCCAGGAAGCGCUCAUCAGCACGGUGGCUGUGGUCCCUUCCAUAGCCACAGGUAGCAGAGUCAAGUUAUUAAACUCUCCACAAGUGAGAGUAGCAGAAAAAAAAAUGGCAUAAGAAUCAAAACCUGCCCACUUCAAGUCCUUGAGGUAGUUUUGACUCAGGGCAAAGUGGCAAAGUCAAUAAAGUCAGCCAAGGAAGUUAGUAUCUGUAAGAAUCUGGGUUUUGAAGCCAGGUUGCCUGGAUUGAUAGCCUUAUUCUGCUACUUCCUGCCUGUGUGAUCUCAAACAAAUUACUGAACCUCUCUGAGCCUGAGGAGCUACAAUGAUGAAUUAGAGAUAAUAACAGAGACCUCUUCCUAGUAUCAUUAAAUCAACAGAGAUAGUGCAUACGGAGUUCUUAACACAAAGACCGAAACAUUGUAACUCUGUGUUACAUGAUUUCUGUUGUUUUUAUUUUAUUGUAAAUCAAUAAAUAAAAUACUAACUACCUUACCGUGGUGCAUGAACCUAUAAGUGGAGUCCCAUAGAAAUUUGUACAAAUUCCAGUUUGAAGGCAAAAGGACUGGAAAAUUGAAUGAGAAGUUUCUGGUCACUUACAUAAUAUCCACACAACACACACACACACACACACACACACCCAUAUUGUAAAAUAAAAGGUUCUUUUAAAAACAAAUUUUAAUGGUGUUUUAGCGCAUGUGAACAGCUAAGGCACGAUUGUUCUGUUCUUGGUUUCGGCUGUUUUCCAACUAUGGUGUUUUUCUCAUUGAUCAGACAGAAAUCCCCAAGGUCUGGCAAAGGAAGCUUUUAAUUGCUCUGGAUGGACCAAUUUUUGGCUUAGCUGCUCAAGCACAUAAUUGGGAGAGAAAGAGAGAGAGAGAGAGAAACUAAAUCAUUUUGAGAUUGCUUUAAGACAAAUAUACAGUCAGACAUCCCUUUACCUGACCAAACCUCAAAAUUUUCCCACAAGCUCUGGGAACAGAGAGAGUAGGUAGUACAUCACCAGAGAUCAGAGAGUGAAGAUCAUUUUGCUGAUCUUUAUCAAAAUGAAAAUAAGAGUGAUCAUAAUUAUCAUUCUCCUGUUAUAGGUGGGGCUUCCCCAGAAGCAGACUGAGACCAGGAUUCUGGUCAAUCCACUUUAUUUAGAGGGGAUCCUGGAAUCACUAGGAGGGGAGACAGAGAAUGGAGGACAGCCGGGAAAGGUGUAGGAUUGAGUAAACUAUGGCUGAGGCCACUGGAGCUCCAUCCCCCCAGGGGACCUUGGGAGCCAGUGCAAAAUAGACACCUCAGCAGCAUCUCAUCCAGCCACAAGGGAACUGGGGAAUUUGUACCCCAAGUCCCAUCUGAUAUUGGCUAAGAGCAGUCUGUUCCCGGGGUGUAUCACGGCCCGGCACUUCCAGCCAUCCCCAGUGCAGGCAGCCAGAGGAAACCCUGGGGCAAAGUCACAGAAGCUUGCAGCUGGGAAUCAGGCAUUCUGGAAAAACACCAACAGCAUCUGCUUCAACAUCCAAAUAUAAGACAACCCCAAAAUAGGAAGAUUCCCUGCUUCCCCACUUAAAAGAUCCAAAGGAUUUGUGACCUAAUGGAAUACAUAAUCUUUUCUAAAGCAGAUGAAAUGGUUAAAAAAAAAAUCUCCUUAUAGCCUUUAUGACCUGCCCUAUAUGCUUAUAAUCACGUUAUGUGCGAUGAUAACAUUAAUUUAGAAAAAGUCGCUUUCUUUGCACUCAAUCGAUGUUAUUCCAACUCUUCCAGCUCAUCUUUUCUCAUCAUUGAAGGCACCUUUUGAGUCAUUUUUGUUUCCCCCAGCACAUUUUCUUCCCUCCCUUCCCCAUUCUUGGUGAUACAGCAUUUUUGGAAUCUGUAGGAUGCUUUUGCUGGAAUUUUUAUCCCAAGCCUCAAGCACCUAUUUGCAUAACAUUAGGGCAGCUGGCUGUCCCAUUCAGCACCGAGGUGCCAAAGCUUGAUCUCCAUAAUGUAACCACCCAGGGUAAGGCUUUCUUAAGUGUCCUUAAAAGACUUGUUCACACUCCAGUGCAGCCUCGUGGAGCCGCCACGCCCUUCAGAAUCCAUUCCAAAUCUGGUUCAAUUUCCUAGCCUCCUAUCUCAGCCUGUUUGUGCUAUUGUAACAAAAUGCUCCAGGCUGGAAAGAGCAGAAACUAAUUCCCUUACAGUUCAGGAGGCUGGAAGUCCAAGAUCAAGGUGCUGGAGAGGGCCUUCUCUCUGUGCUUUCAAGAUGGUGCCUGACUGCUGUGUCUCCAGAAGGGAAAAAUGCUGUGUCCUCACUUGGAAUAUGGGCUCUUAGCGUGUGUGUGUGUGUGUGUGUGUGUGUUUUUUUCCUGGGGAUUGAAGGGAGGGGUGUGCUACCACUGGGCUAGAUCCCCAGCCUCUUAUUUAUUUAUUUUUUAUUUUGAGAUAGGGUUUUGCUGAGGCUGACCUCAAACUUGCAAUCCUCCUGCCCCAGCCUCCCAAGUCACUGGGAUUACAGGCAUGCGCCACUGUGCCCACCCUUCCAGCUCUUUCAUAUAAGCACUAAUCCAUUCAUGAAGGUGGGGGAGGCCCCACCUGUUACUACCAACACAGUGGUGGUAAGUUUCAAUAGAAACUUUAGAGGGGACACCUUCAAACUCUAAUACCUCCUUUUGAGCAGUUUCUUCAGAUGACCUUGGUUAAUGGCCAGAAUCACCUCUGAUGGAGAUUGUUUCAGGUAACACAUCCCUCCCAUACCUCACUAGGUUGUUCAAAAUAAAAUACUUGAGAGCCCCCCACAACAUGAAAGAGUGCAUGAGGUUUCUAUUGAAAACAGAGGCUCUUUCCCCAGGGAACUUCUGAGAAGCCUGGAACGUCACCGUAUAUCCCUGCCGACUAGUUCUUCUGGCAGUCAUCUUAAUCCUCACAACCAACCCAGGAAGUGGAUUAGAGCAUCAUUCCCAUUUUACAGAUGGAGAAAUGGAGGCUUUGAAGCAGCUCAAAGAGCAGUGGAAUGACAGUGGUGGGUGUGUCUUUGAGGUGUGCAUACCCCCUCCACCAUGCUGCUGUCCCUUGGGAAAGGGCUGUGCUCAUGGACUUGGAUGGUAGACUCCUAGGGCAGCAAAGUGCCAGCCAGCUCAGCAGCCUUCACAGGGUCCUCUCUCUACUCCUCUCGCUUUGCUGAGCUAGAGAAGCAAGAGGCAAUCACCAUUACUCCAGCUGAAAACCUCUACAAGGAAAUGAAAGUCCCCCCUCAAGGGAACUUCUAAAAACUGUAACUAAGUCCAUUUCAAAUGGGCAAAUAAAUGUCUACAAAGGAUUUUUUAAAUAAAAC
RNAcentral lists this long non-coding RNA (11963 nucleotides) under Marmota monax (woodchuck). The record is from RNAcentral. Lineage: Eukaryota; Metazoa; Chordata; Mammalia; Rodentia; Sciuridae.